Molecule: ribosomal RNA, 52 nt
Filed under: Tetraselmis sp. GSL018
Lineage: Eukaryota; Viridiplantae; Chlorophyta; Chlorodendrophyceae; Chlorodendrales; Chlorodendraceae
Description: partial Bacterial small subunit ribosomal RNA
Source: RNAcentral
AGCAACCUGAGGACUGCCUGGGACGAGGCGGAGGAGGGUGAGGAGGACGUCA